UCCGGUGACUUUACCGAGGGGGUCACACCCGUUCCCAUUCCGAACACGGCAGUUAAGCCCCUCAGGGCCGAUGGUACUAGGCUUUUGUGGUCUGGGAGAGUAGGACGUUGCCGGAU
Molecule: ribosomal RNA, 116 nt
Filed under: Deltaproteobacteria bacterium GWA2_50_8
Lineage: Bacteria; Deltaproteobacteria
Also listed under: 2 other names
Source: RNAcentral